CUCUUGUACUAACAGAUCGUACAUGUUUAGUACAAGGAGAAGGCCUAGAAAUAUGUUCCAGCCUUCAGGUGACGCUGAUCAAGAUGUAGCUUUUUUCUGUCUAAAAUCUAAGCUGGAAAUACCUGGGUAGCAUCCCAUUGAUUGGCUGGCUUGACGCAGAGCUUAUAGAAUAUUUCCAUGUUUAUCCCUCGAAUAUUGAUCGAAUAUGUAUGAAAUAUGAUGGUUAUAUGUUUCAUUCACAUUCGGUCAACGUUCGAGUGAUAAACAGAAAUAUUUGGAUCUUUACCAGCUGCAGAAAUGGCUACGGAGUCCUUUUAUAAUAGAGGUGGCUUUCCCUGCAAAGAAGUGAAAAUUGAGGGGAUGGAGCAUUAAAGAAAAAUGGAAACGUCUCCCUCGUGCUGGAUUUUGGAUAGUGGAUGGCAGGCCGAAUCUGCUACCAGCAUGCUAACGCUCAAGCUUCACAAGCAAGCAAUGACGCUGGUCUUCUACAGAUGCUCGAAACAAGAUCCCAGAGGCGCCACAAAUCCAUCACUACCCGAAUCCUGAUUAACAAAAUUUUAUCACAAUUCAAUAUCUCCACUUUUUUUGGCGGAUACCAUACAUUUCCUCAAUCAAAAUAAACAGCUGUUGAAGGUGAGCAAAAGCUGGAUGGCCAAGGCACGAUUUGAAUGCUGAAGCCUUUAUGAGGAUCCGAUCUAUUCAGGAAGUUAGCAGCUGGAUUUCUUUGGUUUCUGAUCAGCCCAGAAAACCAAUACAUGCGGUCAUAGACAGCAGCAUCUUGGCUAAUAAUGACGCGUGCCACCGUCACUGCUAUCACAUCAUUGAGGAAUCAAAACAUAAAACCAACUGUGAGAGAACCAAGGGAGAUACAUUCGUUCAAGGUUGCUACAUAAUUUGGAGAGGUGGCAAUAGGCCGUAAUGCAGUAUUGAACAGCAUCGACCUCGCUGUUCAGUUAAAAACUGUCAAAGCAUGCAGGCAUCAGAAAAAUGGCCACAGAAGUUGUUGCCUGUUGGUUUUAUGAGCAGCAUAGCUGGUGGUAUCACAUCUGAGAAAAAAAAUAACAAAAUGAUAUCCAUAAGAUGAAUAUAUCACUAGAAGUUCACUCCCUUUUCCAUCAGGAUUGUAGAACUUCAUUUAAUAAGACUUGUUUAGGGAAGAAAAAAAGAGUUUUCAUCCAAUAAUGACCUUUAAAAAGGAAUA
Populus euphratica (Euphrates poplar) is the source of this 1201-nucleotide long non-coding RNA. RefSeq lists it as uncharacterized. The record is from RefSeq and is a predicted model, not a curated record. The transcript is spliced from 2 exons. Lineage: Eukaryota; Viridiplantae; Streptophyta; Magnoliopsida; Malpighiales; Salicaceae.